RNAcentral lists this ribosomal RNA (322 nucleotides) under uncultured eukaryote. Its description in RNAcentral is "partial 18S ribosomal RNA". It matches the Rfam family "Eukaryotic small subunit ribosomal RNA", at positions 1470 to 1796 of the family's 1831-position model. The record is from RNAcentral.
CCCUUAGAUGUUCUGGGCCGCACGCGUGCUACACUGAGUAAAUCAAUGGGUAAGGGAACACGAAAGUGCAACCUAAUCUUGAAAUUUGCUCGUGAUGGGGAUCGACGGUUGCAAUUUUCCGUCGUGAACGAGGAAUACCUUGUAGGCGCGUGUCAUCAUCACGCGCCGAAUACGUCCCUGCCCUUUGUACACACCGCCCGUCGCUCCUACCGAUUGGGUGAUCCGGUGAGGCUCUGGGACCUGGACGGAAAGAGCGUUUCGCUUGUUCUGUUUGGGAAACUUGGUCGAACCUUAUCAUUUAGAGGAAGGAGAAGUCGUAACA